UUACGGCCAUAUCACGUUGAAGCACCGGUUCUCAUACGAUCGCCAAAGUUAAGCAACGUCGAGCGUGGUCAGCAGCUAGAUGGGUGUCCACUUGAGAAUACCAGGUAAUGUAAG
This is a non-coding RNA of Acanthosepion pharaonis, 114 nucleotides long. The record is from the annotation of a GenBank genome assembly. Lineage: Eukaryota; Metazoa; Mollusca; Cephalopoda; Sepiida; Sepiidae.